Molecule: ribosomal RNA, 790 nt
Filed under: uncultured bacterium
Lineage: Bacteria
Description: bacterial SSU rRNA
Rfam family: Bacterial small subunit ribosomal RNA
Source: RNAcentral
GCCGGAAGGUGUAGCGAUACAGCGGAGGGGUACCUCCCGGCGAACGGGUGAGUAACGCGUGGGCAAUCUGCCCCCGGGGGCGGGAUAACAGACCGAAAGGCCUGCUAAUACCGCAUGAAGCCGUCCUAUCGCAUGAUAAGACGGUAAAAGGGGAAACCCGCCUGGGGAGGAGCCCGCGUCCCAUUAGCUAGUUGGUGGUGUAAAGGACCACCAAGGCGAUGAUGGGUAGCCGGCCUGAGAGGGUGAACGGCCACAUUGGGACUGAGACACGGCCCAGACUCCUACGGGGGGCAGCAGUGAGGGAUUUUCGGCAAUGGGCGAAAGCCUGACCGAGCGACGCCGCGUGAGCGAAGAAGGCCUUCGGGUCGUAAAGCUCUGUCUAGGGGGAAGAGGAAGGACGGUACCUCUGGAGGAAGCCACGGCUAACUACGUGCCAGCAGCCGCGGUAAUACGUAGGUGGCGAGCGUUGUCCGGAAUUACUGGGCGUAAAGGGCGCGCAGGCGGCGCGUUAAGUCCGGGGUGAAAUCCAUCGGCUCAACCGGUGGGGGACCUUGGAUACUGGCGCACUGGAGUGCGGGAGAGGGAAGCGGAAUUCCACGUGUAACGGUGAAAUGUAUAGAUAUGUGGAGGAACACCGGUGGCGAAGGCGGCUUCCUGGACCGUAACUGACGCUGAGGCGCGAAAGCUGGGGGAGCGAACAGGAUUAGAUACCCUGGUAGUCCCAGCCGUAAACCAUGAACACUAGGUGUGGGGGGUAUCGACCCCUUCCGUGCCGCAGCCAACGCAAUAA